AUUUUUGUGCAGUGACAAGAUCGUAGCCUAUAAGGUUUAACCGAGGCAUGAUUAUUGCUGGUUGAAAACUUAACCCAAUGCCUCUUUUAAGAGACUAUUUGGGGGCAAUCUGCGGUCCAGCGGGCUAAGCCUCAGUGCCUGUGAUUG
Molecule: small nuclear RNA, 147 nt
Organism: Paramormyrops kingsleyae
Lineage: Eukaryota; Metazoa; Chordata; Actinopteri; Osteoglossiformes; Mormyridae
Gene: U4
Rfam family: U4 spliceosomal RNA
About the family: U4 small nuclear RNA (U4 snRNA) is a component of the major U2-dependent spliceosome. The structure of U4 snRNA from yeast and human has been reported.
Source: Ensembl